Molecule: unclassified non-coding RNA, 452 nt
Filed under: Hevea brasiliensis (rubber tree)
Lineage: Eukaryota; Viridiplantae; Streptophyta; Magnoliopsida; Malpighiales; Euphorbiaceae
Source: RNAcentral
GAGUGCCUUAUCCUUGCAAGUGAUGGUUUGUGGGAUGUCAUGACAAAUCAAGAGGUAUGUGACAUUGCAAGAAGAAGAAUCCUUCUUUGGCAUAAAAGAAAUGGUGAUGCAUUGUCUGCAGAAAGGGGCGAGGGAAUCGAUCCUGCUGCUCAAGCUGCAGCAGAAUACCUCUCCAAGCUUGCGCUUCAGAAGGGGAGCAAAGACAAUAUCACUGUUAUUGUGGUGGACUUAAAAGCUCAACGAAAAUUAAAGAAGAAAGCUUGAUAGUAAAUAGUGUGCUCACCCCCAUCAAUUGAAAAAUUUUCAAUUACUAUAGUAAGUGAUAAAGGGAAUAUAUCCUUUUCUUCAUAACUUCAUAUGUAUCUAAAGAAACUUGAUUUAGCCCAUCAAUUUUUGUCAUUUGGGCUAAACGUAAUGCCUGUCAUUGCUCUUUUCUGCUAAUCUGAAGCAGC